RNAcentral lists this ribosomal RNA (450 nucleotides) under uncultured prokaryote. RNAcentral describes it as "bacterial SSU rRNA". It matches the Rfam family "Bacterial small subunit ribosomal RNA", at positions 355 to 796 of the family's 1533-position model. The record is from RNAcentral.
UGGGGAAUUUUGCGCAAUGGGCGAAAGCCUGACGCAGCGACGCCGCGUGUACGAUGAAGGCCUUUGGGUCGUAAAGCACUGUCAACAGGGAAGAUGGGUUCAUAUUUUAAUAGAGUAUGGAUUUGACGGUACCUGUGGAGGAAGCACCGGCUAACUCUGUGCCAGCAGCCGCGGUAAGACAGAGGGUGCAAGCGUUGUUCGGAAUUAUUGGGCGUAAAGCGCGCGUAGGCGGCGAGUUAAGUCGGAUGUGAAAGCCCGGGGCUCAACCUCGGAAGUGCAUCCGAAACUGGCUUGCUUGAAUCUUGGAGGGGGCAGUGGAAUUCCCGGUGUAGAGGUGAAAUUCGUAGAUAUCGGGAGGAACACCAGUGGCGAAGGCGACUGCCUGGACAAUGAUUGACGCUGAGGUGCGAAAGCGUGGGUAGCAAACAGGAUUAGAUACCCCCGUAGUCC